UACGGAGGUGGCAAGCGUUGCUCGGAAUCACUGGGCGUAAAGGGCGCGUAGGCGGGGAGGUAAGUCGGGUGUGAAAUCCCUCGGCCCAACCGAGGAACUGCGCCCGAGACUGCUUCUCUUGAGUCCCGGAGAGGAAGAUGGAAUUCCCGGUGUAGCGGUGAAAUGUGUAGAGAUCGGGAGGAACACCGGUGGCGAAGGCGGCCUUCUGGACGGUGACCGACGCUGAGGCGCGAAAGCGUGGGGAGCAAACGGG
RNAcentral lists this ribosomal RNA (253 nucleotides) under uncultured bacterium. Its description in RNAcentral is "partial 16S ribosomal RNA". It matches the Rfam family "Bacterial small subunit ribosomal RNA", at positions 524 to 776 of the family's 1533-position model. The record is from RNAcentral.